This 1469-nucleotide long non-coding RNA is filed under the name Gopherus agassizii (Agassiz's desert tortoise). RNAcentral describes it as "lncRNA (ENSGAGG00000006596.1)". Lineage: Eukaryota; Metazoa; Chordata; Testudines; Testudinidae. The record is from RNAcentral.
GGUUGACGUUUCACAAAAUAUCUUCUUUUUCCCAAUAAUUUAUUUGUUUACCUGGUAAUAUUUCAUAAACAUUCAAUUUUGUUCAAGAAAAUGGCCAGCAUGACUGUUCAAACAUGUCACAUAUCAAACGAUGGGUCUAUAAAAACAGCAUAUAGAAAAUUCAAUAACAUUGAAACACCAUAUUCAGAACAUGUGGUGCUCAUUCCUGGAGACUGAAAUAUCUUAAAUUUUGGCAGCCCAUCUUGUACGAUGUGGACGUAAAAUGCCACAAUCAAUGGAAGGAAACCGAGCAUAUUCCUGCUACCAAAAACUAGGUAAGCGUUAAAAACAUUAUAAUUCUGACUUGCAUAACAUAUAGAGUACAACUGACUGGCCAGCAACGUUCAGCAAAGAUAUUUAUAGUCUCACAAAACAUAAUGGUGCUGUGAUCCUCAGCUGAGAUCUCACAUAUCAGUGGGCAGGCUUUUUCAUGCGGAAAAUUGUAGAAAUGCUGGUCGGAUUUCUGAGCUCUGUCUUGCUUCACAGAACUGUCUUACAAAGGCCAAGUAUUACCGGAUAAAUAUGGAUCAAGAGGUGCACAUUUAGCUGUUCAGCCUGAAACACAGAGCACUAUGAAUUCACAUUUUUGUGUUGUUUUUAGUAUAAAUACUUGGCCAUUCUGGACUAUGGGUGAAAGAGCUUGCAAGGUAUCAUUUAAAGCAGAAGAUAUUUUUCAACAAAGAUUUGUUUGCUAUUACAGAGAGAGAGUAAUCCACAUCAUCCUAGCUCCUUUCUAUGUGUCAUACCUUAAGAGAUACAUUAUUUCAUACUGCAGUAGAGUGCAGUACAUAGCUCUUCCUUCUAUCUUUUCAUUUCCUCCACAGCUCAUGUGUUCUCUUUUUUCCCCUUCUUUGCCUGCAUGAAUAAUAUGCAGUGACUCUCUAUAUAAGGCAUGACUGUUUGCUUGAACCUUUAAUACAAAUGUUGAAUCUCCUCUUGGGAGCUACAGUGAUUCAAUUCCAUUAAUCAAACUGGAUAGAAGAAUUUUAUUUUAAAUGCACUAUAAACUUUUUCUCCCAGAAUCUAGGAUUUUCAUAAUACUGUCCUGAAUACUACAAUAUCUUCCUGUGAAUAUUCAUCCUUUAAAAGGAGUUGAUGAUGUUUUUGAAUUAGUUGCAGGUUAUAGAUAUUGACGAUUCUGUUCACUUAUGUGUCAAGCUAGGAAACCACUGGAUUAUUUGUACAGAUAUUUCCACCCUUCUCCCUUGAGUUCGUCGAGUGUCUCAUUUUAAUUUGGCAAGAAAGCGAGCCUUUUAAACAACUGGCUGUGGGUUUAUGGGAGUCGUCCUAGGACUAUUGAGCUUGGUGGGAAAACAAAUGAAAAGCCAAAAUGCUGGUGAGAUUAAAAGGGUGCUGUGUGAAAUUAUGAUUUGAAAUAGAAUGUGACUAAACAUUGUGUUAAUCAAAAAUAAACAGCAGCUCAGUAAACA